This 38-nucleotide ribosomal RNA is filed under the name Yarrowia lipolytica. RNAcentral's name for it is "partial 28S ribosomal RNA". The record is from RNAcentral. Lineage: Eukaryota; Fungi; Ascomycota; Dipodascomycetes; Dipodascales.
UUUCACCUCCUUCAUCCGAGAUUACCCGCUGAACUUAA